UACGUAGGGGGCAAGCGUUGUCCGGAUUCAUUGGGCGUAAAGAGCGUGUAGGCGGCCAGGUAGGUCGGUUGUGAAAACUGGAGGCUCAACCUUCAGAGGUCGACCGAAACCAUCUGGCUAGAGUCCGGGAGAGGAGAGUGGAAUUCCUGGUGUAGCGGUGAAAUGCGCAGAUAUUGGGAGGAACACCAGUGGCGAAGGCGGCUCACUGGACCGGAACUGACGCUGAUGCGCGAAAGCGUGGGGAGCAAACAGG
This 253-nucleotide ribosomal RNA is filed under the name uncultured bacterium. RNAcentral describes it as "partial 16S ribosomal RNA". It matches the Rfam family "Bacterial small subunit ribosomal RNA", at positions 524 to 776 of the family's 1533-position model. The record is from RNAcentral.